This 444-nucleotide ribosomal RNA is filed under the name uncultured Rhodobacter sp. RNAcentral's name for it is "bacterial SSU rRNA". It matches the Rfam family "Bacterial small subunit ribosomal RNA", at positions 335 to 795 of the family's 1533-position model. Lineage: Bacteria; Pseudomonadati; Pseudomonadota; Alphaproteobacteria; Rhodobacterales. The record is from RNAcentral.
CACCUACGGGCGGCUGCAGUGGGGAAUCUUAGACAAUGGGGGAAACCCUGAUCUAGCCAUGCCGCGUGAUCGAUGAAGGCCUUAGGGUUGUAAAGAUCUUUCAGGUGGGAAGAUAAUGACUGUACCACCAGAAGAAGCCCCGGCUAACUCCGUGCCAGCAGCCGCGGUAAUACGGAGGGGGCUAGCGUUGUUCGGAAUUACUGGGCGUAAAGCGCACGUAGGCGGAUUGGAAAGUUGGGGGUGAAAUCCCGGGGCUCAACCCCGGAACUGCCUUCAAAACUCCCAGUCUUGAGUUCGAGAGAGGUGAGUGGAAUUCCGAGUGUAGAGGUGAAAUUCGUAGAUAUUCGGAGGAACACCAGUGGCGAAGGCGGCUCACUGGCUCGAUACUGACGCUGAGGUGCGAAAGCGUGGGGAGCAAACAGGAUUAGAUACCCUAGUAGUUGC